RNAcentral lists this ribosomal RNA (253 nucleotides) under uncultured bacterium. RNAcentral's name for it is "partial 16S ribosomal RNA". It matches the Rfam family "Bacterial small subunit ribosomal RNA", at positions 524 to 776 of the family's 1533-position model. The record is from RNAcentral.
UACGUAGGGUGCAAGCGUUAAUCGGAAUUACUGGGCGUAAAGCGUGCGCAGGCGGUUGUGCAAGACCGAUGUGAAAUCCCCGGGCUCAACCUGGGAAUUGCGUUGGAGACUGCAAGGCUGGAGUCUGGCAGAGGGGGGUAGAAUUCCACGUGUAGCAGUGAAAUGCGUAGAGAUGUGGAGGAACACCGAUGGCGAAGGCAGCCCCCUGGGUCAAGACUGACGCUCAUGCACGAAAGCGUGGGGAGCAAACAGG